This is a long non-coding RNA of Echinops telfairi (small Madagascar hedgehog), 2026 nucleotides long. RefSeq lists it as uncharacterized. Lineage: Eukaryota; Metazoa; Chordata; Mammalia; Afrosoricida; Tenrecidae. The record is from RefSeq and is a predicted model, not a curated record. The transcript has 3 exons.
CAUCCUUGGCUGUCAAAUCCAGAGAGCCCGAGCAAAGCCGUGUUCUUCUUGCAGUGACGGCUCUCGCCUACCAAACCGUGUGCCUCAGAGCCAGAGAAAGAAGGCGUGAUCACGCGUCCAACCUGCCUGCCUCCCGCGGCCAUCUUGGCAAGGGAGGGUAGGACACAGGGAGAAGGUUAUGGGUUGACUGCCGUGGUUCCUUCACAGAUUUAUGCUUACCGCAACCGUCCAUGGAGUUCUUCAAUAAUCAUCUUAGCAACAUUAGCAAGCAGCAUUAAACAGCAAUGCGGUGAAGUGUCCGCAUGAUAAAACCAAGGAAGGGUAAGAAAAGCUGUGCUGGAAGAAGUUUAUUGAAAAACAUUAUCCAAUCCACCCAACAGUCCUGACCUCGCUACAUUAGACUUCUUUUCCACUAACGGGGCACCACUUGAGUUCCUUGAGCCUGCCGAACCUGCCUUGCUGACAUGGUGCAGAUGGAAGAGCACAGAAUGGUUCCAGGAAGACUUAAAGAGCGGACACUCCAUCUUCAGAAGUGAGUGGAUCUGGAUGAAAGAAUAGAAAGCAGCUGUCUAUGAUGCAGCCAUUGGUCUCUCCUAGCACAAAACAAAGAAGUGUGAAGAAAAUCUGCAAUUUGAGGGAACAAUUUGUUCCAAGGACUAAUGAACCACGUGCACCCCCAUUGUUGACAUCAGGUAGAUCUAGAUUAAGAGCAACAAACAUCAAAAAGAUGUUAAUUUUUGUUUUACUGACCAUGUAAGGGUUGUGUGGAUCAUAAAAGCCCAUGGAUAAUAUUGAUAACAAUAGGAAUUCUAGAACACAUCACUGUACUCUUAUGGAACCUACCCAUAGACCUAGAUGCAGUCAUUUGACCAGAUCAAAAGGAUAUUGCAGUACUUAAAAUCAAGAAAAGGGUGUGUCCAGGUUGUACCUUUUCUGUAUGCAGAGAAAAGCAUCCAAGACACUGGAUUACAUGAUGAAGAAUUUGGUAUCAGAAUUGUAUGAAGGAUGACACAUCCUUACUUGAAAUUGAAGAUGAUUUAAAAUAUGAAGAUUAAAUAAAACUGUCAAGUGUGGGUUGUGAUCUAAUGUAAAGAAAACAAAAAUCCUCAUGACUGGACAAAUAGAAAUUGCCAUGGUAAGUGAAGAAGAGAUCGAAAUGGUCAACAAUUUCAUUCUACUUGGGUCUUUAAUCAAUGAUCAUGGACGCUUCAGCUGAGAAACCAAAUGAAGCAUUGCACUGGGCAAAUCUGCUGCACAAGAUCUCUUUAAAGUAUUAAAGUAUAAGGAUGUCACUUAGAGGAAUAAGGGGCACCUGACCCAAGCCAUGAUAUUGUCAACUGCCUCAUUUCCAUGUGAAAUCUGGCUAAUGCAUAAGGAAGACCACAGCAGAUUUGAAUAACUGUGCUAGUGGGAAAUACUGAAAGUACCUUGGAUGGCCAGAGAACAAACAGAUCUAUCUUGGAGGGACUACAGCCAGAAUUCUCCUUCAAUGAGAGAACAGUGAGACUAAACAGCCCAUAGUUUUGACACAAACAGGGUUUCUUUGAAGUAGUCCUUGGUUUGGACAUACCGGAGUCUGAAGAAGCAAGCUCAGAGCUGUCUGGUCUAUGGGGUAAGCCUUCUCAAUGAAACCCCCAUCAGAGCCCUUGUCACUCUUGUAGAAUGAGCAGGAGCCUUGUUGUGAUAGAAAAAUUAUCCCUAGCUUCUUUCACACUAAUGUGGCUUUCUAUUUUCUGAAAACAUCUUCAUUAAAAGCCCCCAUGAUCACCCUCUGCCCUCAGGAAAAUCUAUCAAGAUUAUACCUUUGAAUCUCAAAGCAGUCACCUCUGAACUGAACUGGUCCAGCAGCUCCCCUUGACAGCUACUAUUUUGAGUAGAUGUUUUUCCUUUUUCUUCAAGGAUGCUAUGAACUCUUCUCUUAGCAUUAGUGAUAAAACGCAUUACAUUCCUUCCUACUUUAACCUCUCUCUGUGGCCACUCAUUGUAGCUAAUGGAAUAUUUUAAUUAGUUAUUUGAUAUUAGCCAA